GAUGAACGCUGGCGGCGUGCCUAAUACAUGCAAGUCGAACGCAUUGAGAGAAGUGCUUGCGCUUUUCAAUUUGAGGGGCGAACGGGUGAGUAACACGUGGCAACCUACCUGAUAGCGGGGGAUAACGAGUGGAAACAUUCGCUAAUACCGCAUAACAAUAGAGAAGGCAUCUUCUUUAUUUAAAAGGCGCUUUCAAGCGUCACUAUCAGAUGGGCCCGCGGUGCAUUAGUUAGUUGGUGGGGUGAAGGCCUACCAAGACGAUGAUGCAUAGCCGAGUUGAGAGCCUGAUCGGCCACAUUGGGACUGAGACACGGCCCAAACUCCUACGGGAGGCUGCAGUAGGGAAUCUUCCACAAUGGACGAAAGUCCGAGGGAGCAACGCCGCGUGUGUGAUGAAGGCUUUCGGGUCGUAAAGCACUGUUGUAUGGGAAGAAAUGCUAGGCUAGGAAAUGAGCUUAGUUUGACGGUACCAUACCAGAAAGGGACGGCUAAAUACGUGCCAGCCGCCGCAGUAA
This 515-nucleotide ribosomal RNA is filed under the name uncultured bacterium. RNAcentral describes it as "partial 16S ribosomal RNA". It matches the Rfam family "Bacterial small subunit ribosomal RNA", at positions 28 to 523 of the family's 1533-position model. The record is from RNAcentral.